RNAcentral lists this long non-coding RNA (581 nucleotides) under Phasianus colchicus (ring-necked pheasant). RNAcentral describes it as "lncRNA (ENSPCLG00000017280.1)". The record is from RNAcentral. Lineage: Eukaryota; Metazoa; Chordata; Aves; Galliformes; Phasianidae.
GAGGAGCCUUUAGUCAGGUCUCUGAAAUAGGAAGCAUCUGUACUUCCACACAUUGAAGAAUGACACUAUGACGUGUUUUUCACUGUGUUCUUCAUUUUGACAUAAGGCAUGUUCAUCUCAGUGCCAAGAGACAUGAUGAAUGCCAGCUCUGAAGUGAAAGGAUACAGGAACAGGCUGUAUCUAACUGUGACUGCAUAACGUGGAAAACAGAAUUGUUAAUACAGUAAAGCUGUGAGUGAACUCAUCCCCCAUCACCACUGCGUCUUCCAGAUUCAGAGCUCUUCUUUUGUCUUUGCUGAAAGCAGAAACAGGGACUCUCAGAGAGCUCUUCUGGACUGCGAGGGUGCCAUAACACGUGAAAGAGUGUGUUGUGAAUGCUGAACUUUGGUAUAACUGAGGCUUGGCAAGUUGCCUGAGGCUAUGCAACAGCAGCAUCAAUAGGCCAGAAAGCUGCAAAUGGGUUGUUAUGAGAAGGAUAAGGAGCAAGCUAAAUCUUGUAAGAGCUGAAAAAUAUCUGCAAUGGGAGGAAAAGAAAAAUGGUUUGUAAGGUGUUGGCUGCAAACAAUUUUGCUGGUCUGUUU